GACGAACGCUGGCGGUGUGCUUAACACAUGCAAGUCGAACGGUAAGGCCCUUUCGGGGGUACACGAGUGGCGAACGGGUGCGUAACACGUGAGUAACCUGCCCUCAUCUCUGGGAUAACAGUCGGAAACGGUUGCUAAUACUGGAUAUGAGCUUGCAAGGCAUCUUGUGGGUUGGAAAGAUUUUUUUUGGUUGGGGAUGGACUCGCGGCCUAUCAGCUUGUUAGUGAGGUAGUGGCUCACCAAGGCUUCGACGGGUAGCCGGCCUGAGAGGGCGACCGGCCACAUUGGGACUGAGAUACGGCCCAAACUCCUACGGGAGGCAGCAGUGGGGAAUAUUGCACAAUGGACGGAAGUCUGAUGCAGCAACGCCGCGUGCGGGAUGACGGCCUUCGGGUUGUAAACCGCUUUCAAUUGUGACGAAGCUUUUUUGUGACGGUAGCAGUAGAAGAAGCACCGGCUAACUACGUG
RNAcentral lists this ribosomal RNA (468 nucleotides) under uncultured bacterium. Its description in RNAcentral is "partial 16S ribosomal RNA". It matches the Rfam family "Bacterial small subunit ribosomal RNA", at positions 28 to 507 of the family's 1533-position model. The record is from RNAcentral.